CGGGGACGGGUGAGUAAUGUCUAGGGAAACUGCCUGAUGGGAGGGGAUACACUGGAAACGGUAGCUAAUACCGCAUAACGUCGCAAGACCAAAGAGGGGGACCUUCGGGCCUCUUGCCAUCGGAUGUGCCCAGAUGGGAUUAGCUAGUAGGUGGGGUAACGGCUCACCUAGGCGACGAUCCCUAGCUGGUCUGAGAGGAUGACCAGCCACACUGGAACUGAGACACGGUCCAG
RNAcentral lists this ribosomal RNA (233 nucleotides) under uncultured bacterium. Its description in RNAcentral is "partial 16S ribosomal RNA". It matches the Rfam family "Bacterial small subunit ribosomal RNA", at positions 100 to 334 of the family's 1533-position model. The record is from RNAcentral.